RNAcentral lists this long non-coding RNA (3030 nucleotides) under Olea europaea (common olive). Its description in RNAcentral is "long non-coding RNA (OEUR_LNC003395)". Lineage: Eukaryota; Viridiplantae; Streptophyta; Magnoliopsida; Lamiales; Oleaceae. The record is from RNAcentral.
CUCCAUUCCAAGCCAAUCAAAGCCUUCUUCUUCAAUUCUUGGUUUCCAGCAAAACCAUAUAGUUUCAAGUGAUUUGACUCCAAAUUGCAACGCAUCUUCUCCUAAUUAUGCCGCUGAGAACUGGGAUAUUGGUUACAUAGUCAGGCGAUCCAGCUUGUGAGCCAUAUUUCACCAGUAUAAUAUUAUUAGAAGGUAAACUUUUCUACAAAACAGUUUCAAAAUAUACAUUAGCUCAAUGUUAAUUAUUCUUUCAUUUUUCUUUACUGGCAGGUCCUUGACUAAUUAGGUCGAGACUGAUGUGUGGUUUCCCAUGUGCUUAGGCUAUGUAAGCUUUACUAUAUGUUUCGGCUUUGACGAAUCUCUUAUUUAUCUCCCUUUUUUUACCAACUAGUUUACGGGUGGAACUUUCAUGAAUUUAUCUUUAUUUCACUACAUUGACACCUCUUGUUACUCCAAAAUUUUAGUUAAUUGUGCUUAAUAAUUUAGCCGUUGACCCUCAUUUAUUAAAACAUACUUUUUAUACUGCAUUGGACAGAUCUAAUGUCUUUAGUUAUCGUAUAUAAUCAGGUCUAAAACAAGUUUUAUUUUAGGAUAUCAGGUCAAAUCCUAAUGUAGCAUCAUUGUUUAAGUUCAUCUUAUUGACAGUUAAAUAUAUAAUAUCAGUAUAUCGGAGGUUUGAAAAUACUAGGACACUUUUAGACCUACCUUGUUGAAUCCAUAGUUCAAGAUUACUGAUCCAUUAUGCUCAUCUAGCAUUUAAUUUAGAAGAAAGAACAUGAAUUCAUUAUACUAAUAGGAUUUAGGAAUACAUAUUAUUAGGUCUAUAGUGCUUUUGAUAUAUAAAUGUUAUGUGCAUAAGUAUGAUUCAUGUACUAAGUUUGUAUUAUAGAAAACAUGAGAAAAAGUGAAGCAAAUUGUAAGAAAAGCAAUAAAAAAAUGAGAGUGAAAUAUACCUUUUUCAAGGAAGAAACUUCUCUUAAAGUGUUCUAGUGAGAGCGAGUACUUGAAUAUCAGUGAAUUCAUCUUGGUUUCCAAUUACAAAGUGGUAUCGAAGACUUGCUGAAGGAAUUGUUAGAGAUGACAUCAAACAGUUACAGCCACAGCUUCCUGACUUCAAUGCGAAGAAGUAGUCAACAAAUAUGGAUCCAACAACGAAACUGUUGUAUGUUAUCCAAGCCUUGUGAAAAACUUUGAGAAAUGGAUACACGGACGAUCAAGCUCGGCCAUUCAAUUUAUAGAAUUGAAUCGGAAAAGGGACAAAAAUACACUGUCCUUUAUUUAUCGAGAAAUAAAUGAUGAGAUUUUUGAAACAAUUUCAGACACUAUGCCACCAAAACGAGCGUGGGAUUUAUCAUGUAUUUUGGAGACUGCCUACAAGUUAGAUUUCCAUAAGAUUCUCAACAAAAAACAGGCUGCUGUUGCUUUUUAGAAAGGGAACAAUUUGAAUUGGAAAUUGGAAAUGGAAGAGAAAACUACUAAAUUAUUUGAGGAUGAAGAGAACACAAUAUGGUCAGUUGGAGUAGAAGGCAACUGAAAUGAAACACAUACGGAAAAAAAAACUAAGAACAUAGGAGCAAAAGUUGGGAACGCAAACAUACAUGCUUAGGAAAAAGAUAAGAAGACUGUAACAAAGGUGAAAUCUGUGGAGGAAAAUGAGAGGCCUGUCAAAAUGUUAACCACGGCAAUCAUAUUUGAGGUAUUAAUGUUUUCAAUAUUACAGUUGUCAUUUGUCAACACUUAAGUUCAUUAAGGAGGGUAUAUAUGAUAGUUAGAAUCAUCAUGCAACAGUUUUUUACAGCUUUCAGACUGUGUCAUUGUUCUAGUUUCACAUCUUUCAGGCUUUGAAAUAUUUUCAAUAGGACUGUAGGAGGAAAUUUUAAAUUUUAUAUUAUUCUUUGAAGCUACCGUGCUCUUUACAUAUAGGUUGAGAAAUCAGAGUUUUUAUGUCACUUGAAUUAACAUGAAGUCUUAGCCUUAAAAAAGUUUACAAUCAUUUGUCUAAAAUUCCCUAGAGUUCUUAUAAUUACCUCUCCAAGUGGAAAUAUAUGUUGGUUAUUAGCAGAAUAUUUUAAAUUUCCUUUAAAUGUACAGAUACCCAAUCUGGAAUCAAAAGAUCCUGCUGUAUAUUUUACAUUAGAGAAAACUUAAUACAGUUCCUAGGAAUUUAAUUUGUCAAAAUACGUUUGGUAUAUAGGUAUCUAGUUUUUUUUUUUUUUUUAGAGGUUUCUAGGUUAGAUUGUGGAAUUGGUAAUUUUUUGGUCAGCUGGUUUGUUGACACGAGUAAUUAUGUUGUGGGAAUCGAACUUACCGGGCUGAAGUAAUCAAAGUGACAAUGGAAGAGAAAUAAGUAAAGUUGUGGUAAUGAUUAAAAGACUUGCAGUUCAAUACCUUCAAAAUUUUCCUGUGUUAAAACCAACAGGGUUGUAUAUUCUGAAGCGACAGACGAAGGAAGUACUAUAAAGACACAAAAAGUUCAUAUCCUUUCAUUGGGGACCAUUGUGAGUCAGUCUCUUGUUUUUAGCGUCUUACGUACAGUGGAAACAAAUUUCAAUCCUCAUUCUUCCUUCCCUAUUGUCCUAAACUGCGACAGGAUUACCGUGAAUACAUUAAAGUGCAAGAUGCAUAAAGUACCCUACUAACAGAGCUCCAAUAUUUUUGAUCCUAUGAUUGUUUGGCUAAGAUUAUUAUAGUUUAAUUGCUGAACUGACUAUCAUUCUCCUCUAACCUCAGCCAUGGGUACUGUCAAUUACAUAUAUAUAUUCUCUUUGCCUAAUUAGCUUUGAAUUAUUCGAGCCUUUAUAUAGACAUGCAUAAUAAUUUCAUCACAGAGAUGAUUAUACAAAACGACUUACUGAACUUUUGGUAAGAAAUUCAUCGCAACGUUCAACAAUUGAAUUCACUAACCUGAUCGGCUGAUCCCAACAAUUGAAAGCCCUUUGUCUUGGCACAGCCGUGUAUUCUGAGAAGCAAUCCUUGUUGACAUAUGUAAGUCAGUUCCAUUAAUUGAAUCCUCGAAAGGGGGGUAAAGAA